AGUACUGAAAGACAUUUACGAAGGUAGC
This 28-nucleotide non-coding RNA is filed under the name Bombyx mori (domestic silkworm). Lineage: Eukaryota; Metazoa; Arthropoda; Insecta; Lepidoptera; Bombycidae. The record is from RNAcentral.